This 498-nucleotide ribosomal RNA is filed under the name uncultured bacterium. RNAcentral's name for it is "partial 16S ribosomal RNA". It matches the Rfam family "Bacterial small subunit ribosomal RNA", at positions 28 to 507 of the family's 1533-position model. The record is from RNAcentral.
GACGAACGCUGGCGGCGUGCCUAAUACAUGCAAGUCGAGCGAACCAAUAAGAAGCUUGCUUUUUGUUGGUUAGCGGCGGACGGGUGAGUAACACGUGGGUAACCUGCCUGUAAGACCGGGAUAACUCCGGGAAACCGGUGCUAAUACCGGAUAGAUUAUCUUUCCGCAUGGAGAGAUAAGGAAAGAUGGCUAUUGCCAUCACUUACAGAUGGGCCCGCGGCGCAUUAGCUAGUUGGUGAGGUAACGGCUCACCAAGGCGACGAUGCGUAGCCGACCUGAGAGGGUGAUCGGCCACACUGGGACUGAGACACGGCCCAGACUCCUACGGGAGGCAGCAGUAGGGAAUCUUCCGCAAUGGACGAAAGUCUGACGGAGCAACGCCGCGUGAGCGAAGAAGGUCUUCGGAUCGUAAAGCUCUGUUGUUAGGGAAGAACAAGUAUCGGAGGAAAUGCCGGUACCUUGACGGUACCUGGCGAGAAAGCCACGGCUAACUACGUG